Long non-coding RNA from Pyrus x bretschneideri (Chinese white pear), 559 nucleotides. RefSeq lists it as uncharacterized. Lineage: Eukaryota; Viridiplantae; Streptophyta; Magnoliopsida; Rosales; Rosaceae. The record is from RefSeq and is a predicted model, not a curated record. The transcript is spliced from 3 exons.
CUUUUGACCAUUUGUUUGUUCACUGUCUGGUGGCAGAGCUUCACGCAAAGAAAAGCAAGGUGAAGAUAUGGACGAACUACACACCCACUUCUACAUAUCCAAAAACAAUUGAUAACAAGAAUUUGGCUGGAAAGGCUUGGACCGUCGUAGUGGGAAGUCUGAAGCCCAACUUUGCGAAUCACGUGGAUUGGGGGUCUUUAAUGCCACCGUUGAAGUAUCAGGGAGAUACCGACUUAUGUUGGGCGUACUCGACAGCGACGUGUGCAGAGGCCCUAUACUUCAUUGAGAUCGGAGAGCGCAUAUCAGUGGACAUUACUAGCAUGAUCGAGAGUGCCAAGGACAACAUGUUACCAGAUGGCACGAAUUUGCCCGAGAACGGCUUCCAAGUCAUGGCAAAGGGUGCCCUUUGUUAGCAGGGCUGGCCCCUCAAGGGUAAGGAAGUGUUGUUUUUCUUGGGUGAAGUUAAGAAAUUGUUGGGCGAACAAGAGAUGAAACAAGCACUUGAUUUUGGCCCAAUUUGUGUCAUUUUGGAUUGUCAUCCAUGCAUGUUAUCCUUUGC